Molecule: long non-coding RNA, 2245 nt
Organism: Anopheles funestus (African malaria mosquito)
Lineage: Eukaryota; Metazoa; Arthropoda; Insecta; Diptera; Culicidae
Exons: 3
Source: RefSeq, a predicted model, not a curated record
AUGUUACAAAUCGCAACGUUGAAAGUAAGUGAUUCACCAUCUACCAGCGUAACGUAAUAAAUGGUUGAUCCCUAAUUAGCGAAAUGAUCAAUUUAUUCCGUUCAAAGUUUGUAGAUAGAAGAUGUGAUCUUGUUAAGCAUUUUAUUGCUAUGUUUUUGCAGCAGAAAAUUUGACAAAUGCAAAGAAGUGUAGAUGUGUGUGCAGUAUGCUGUGACUUGGGUUGAAAUAUCUGUAUGUUUUGUACACACUUCUUCGAAUGAUCAACUCGGAUAUUUUGCAUCAAAUUCUGCAAUGGUUUUGAUGAUGGUUUUUUCCAACAGUCUGUAAUUGGUGAACGAAGUGUUAAUGGAGCGAUGGAACGUUUGGAUGCCGCUUGUUGCGAGCAGUCAUGAAGCCUUCAUCAACUAUACUUAUAUUACCAAAGGAGAUCUGAUAUGAGUGAAGUAUUCCCUUGUGUGAUCAUCAAUAACCAUCGUCACGUUCCCGUUCGUGUAAGCUCUAAAGCCUUGAUCAUCUGUUGAAUCGCUUUAUGCCGGCAACGUUAGAAUGAUAGCGGCGUCUCAUGGCUGGCGUAUGUUGAAGGCGAAGGAAACAGCGUGUUCCACUUGCUAGCUCAUGGAAAGAAUGACAAAGUUUCGUCGCCAUAAGAAUACCAUAGCCUUUGACAAAAUUCAGAUGCAUACUACGUUUCAGAUUGAAAUGAAGAAAAUGAAACAUUUCCAGCCGAACAAUGGCAUCGAACUGAAACGAAAAAGUUGAUACACUUCCACCCGCAUUCAGAGCAACACAGUGACACGGCACGAAAGAUAUGAAUGGUUGGCUUAAUUAGUGUUUCGCAUUUGCGACGGGCGUAGCAAUAAAAGUGGGUAAGAUGUAGAUUUAUUUUAAUUGAUGCUAGUAAACUUUCCUUUGCACGGCAGAAUACUUCCUGACAUCUGGUGCAUUUAAUAUAAACGAUUGAUGUUGCCGAUGAUUAAAUUACGAAAAGAGUUAAUCAAGAUUGUUUUUUAAAAUUAUUAACAUAUAUUUUUGAUAAAAAAAGUGGUUAAAAUUAAAAAUAAAAAAGGAUAAUUUUGAUUUUUAUUCAUUCAUUUAUAUAUUUUAUCAAUAUCUAUACCAAUACAGCUUAUAACCACAGAAACCAAAUGUUUUUUUUUAAAUAAGCUCUACUGCUGAUAUAUUUAUACACCUCUAUAACACUAACAUUGGACACAAUUCUCCAAACAGCCAUUACCAACCACAGAAUAAUGCAGGAAAAAUUGUGUCCAUUCUCGAAAAUUUGCUACACGAUUGUAAAAAAUAAAUAGAGGAAAAAACGACCAUCCCUUACCAGAAUAUGUUUCUACUCGUAUUUUGUAUGCCCUAGAGAUUGCAAGCGGCACACUCCAUUUAUAUGGUUGCAAUUGCGUCCAUUCUUCACAUGAAAGUUGACCAUGUUGAACACAUGUAAUGGUCACAGCUGGACUAAAGAACCUUAUAAAUAGGAUUAUUUUCGUUUCCGAUGUGUGCGUGUGUGGACACCUCUUUUUUGUGGCAUUUUUUAUGAUAAAUAUUUUUUUUAUUAUUGAAAUGGAAUUCAAUAACAUAUUUUGAACUAUUGAACUACGAAAUGGAUGUACUUCUUGUGUAUAAAAAAGCUGCUUAUUGUAAUUCAUAUCGUGCUUGAUAGAACAAACAAAUUGGAGAUUUUCAUUUUUAUACUUUUUAAAUAUACUUUUUUGACUGCAUAAAUCAUAUGUUGUGGUUUAAUGAUCUAAACACUAAAACCAUAAAAAGAGUAUCAUUUUUUCAUUUUCUUUAACCUGCCAUAGGAUGUAAACGAGCUGGAAAAUCUACUAAAGUCUAUAAAUUACCUGUGGUUGUUGAUGAUAUAUUCAAAGAGAGGGUUGUCUACAUUUCGUUUUUCUAACAGGGUUCCAAAUGCUAUAAAAAUGACCAUCAUUGUGCGCUGAUAUCAGGUUUUUUUCCUGGAAAACCUUCCUGAUAUUCCCUAAGGAGUGAUUUAAGAAAGGAAUCAAACAUCCCUUACUUAUAUAUGAAGAAACAUAAUCGCGUGCAACAUUCAGUGAUGAUGAUUAUUUCUAAAUUGUAUUGACCACGUGAACUAACUUCUGGCUUCAUAUGGACCAAGUAAACGCCAGGGGUUUCAAGAAAUUCCCACAUGAAAACUGUAAUGAAUGGUUAAUAUUACCCGUAUCAUGUCCACUAUUUUCGAUAUACAAGCUUCUAAUUCUAUUUUUUCUUA